AUCGCUUCUCGGCCUUUUGGCUAAGAUCAAGUGUAGUAUCUGUUCUUAUCAGUUUAAUAAAAGUACAAAACUGUUCGCAAUAAUUUUUUUUUCUUGUUGCAGACCAUUC
Oryctolagus cuniculus (rabbit) is the source of this 109-nucleotide small nuclear RNA. Its record names the gene U2. It matches the Rfam family "U2 spliceosomal RNA". From Rfam's summary of the family: U2 is a small nuclear RNA (snRNA) component of the spliceosome (involved in pre-mRNA splicing). Complementary binding between U2 snRNA (in an area lying towards the 5' end but 3' to hairpin I) and the branchpoint sequence (BPS) of the intron results the bulging out of an unpaired adenosine, on the BPS, which initiates a nucleophilic attack at the intronic 5' splice site, thus starting the first of two transesterification reactions that mediate splicing. The record is from Ensembl. NCBI's taxonomy places the organism in Eukaryota, Metazoa, Chordata, Mammalia, Lagomorpha, Leporidae.